Long non-coding RNA from Cyprinus carpio (common carp), 595 nucleotides. NCBI's taxonomy places the organism in Eukaryota, Metazoa, Chordata, Actinopteri, Cypriniformes, Cyprinidae. The record is from Ensembl.
AUGCUGCAGUCAACUUUACUCCACCGGAGGAGAAGACACGGCCGCUUGUGCAUCAUCCCUGCAAGACCUGGAGUUUUUGCUGCUGAAGCAGUAGAGCAGAGGGCGCUGUGCAGAGCAACAAGAACAUGCCUUGACUUGUACCAGCUUGUCAAAAGGGAGUUAAGGCUUGUGGUCAGCACCAGUAACUGUAUUUGCGUUCUCAUCCAACUGACCGGCGAAAGACGAGAGCAGCAUACUAUCCACUGUAGAAUAUAUGGAUAUUGUGACAAACUGAACUGAUAGGUAAGUGUGUCACUUCUCAGGUGUGGCUGGUGUAAGAAUAGAAGUGCUUUAAGUCAAAACGUUGUUUCUAUAAUUACAGUGCACUUACAAAGUACAUCAUUUCACAAUGCAUAAAAUUAUUUUCUUAAUUCUUAAGUAUUUCGAUUUUUUUUUUUAUUAAAAACACCUUAAAUAGGAGAAACAAAACUGCAUGAGAUAAAAAGUCUUGUGUUUAAAGAAUAUGUUACAAUAUAUCUUGAAUUAUGUAGAUUUUUCUUACGCCAUAAGCAGUUUCAUUGUUUUAAGCAUGAAUCUAACAAAAUGUAAAGUUUAU